GGCAACAGCAAAUAAAGCAUCAACUAGAGCACCAGAUGCAGCAACUGCACCAGCAGCAAAGGCAAGAGGAAAAGCACCAGUAGUACCAGCAAUAACUGCACCAACUGCAGUCCCUUCCAAGAGGAAAUGCGCAAAACCACCUGUCCCUCUAAGGCCUAAAGCAACUACAAAGGUUAAUUCUUCCCAAAGAAUCAUCAACUGGAAAUACAAGAAAAGAGUGGUGUUCUGACAAUCAAGAAGCAUGUACAAGCAUGUGAAGGAGCGAGAGUAAGUAAAAGAGGCCAAGAGUUGUUGGACAAGGUGUUUUUAUGUCUGAGUCUGGAUAUAGUUGUGUUAAUCAAGGGAUGCCUAGCAGCAGGUUGAUAUCCACACCUAGGAUGAUGAAUUCAGCCAUUGUCACAGGUGAAAUUGGAUACAAACCCAGCAAGGGCUUGAAGUGGAGAGGAAAUGUAGCAGUUACACAAAGACAACUCCAAGAGAAAAGUGCUACGCAUAGAGUCCAAACAAGAUCAAAGGCUCUCGGAGUUCAAACAAGGUCAAAAGGUGGAAAAUCUCCAAUGAAGAAGAAGUCUUAGAUUUCUAUGUGUAAGGGUAUUUAUUUUUUGUGAAACUUGGGUAUGUAAGCAAACAAUGUAGCUUGGUAGUUUUGGUCGACAAUUGGAAACAAUGUCCAAUUAUUUUGCAUAUGACAAUGAUGACUGAUGUCCCUUAAUUUGCAUAUGACAAUGUCCAGAUUUGCUUAAUGGUACUUGGUGUGUUUUUGA
Lycium ferocissimum is the source of this 764-nucleotide long non-coding RNA. RefSeq lists it as uncharacterized. The transcript is spliced from 3 exons. The record is from RefSeq and is a predicted model, not a curated record. Lineage: Eukaryota; Viridiplantae; Streptophyta; Magnoliopsida; Solanales; Solanaceae.